AAAAUGGAGAGUUUGAUCCUGGCUCAGGAUGAAUGCUGGCGGCGUGCCUAAUACCUGCAAGUCGAGCGGUAACAGGGCUUCACCGUUUCCUUGACACACCUAGCGCAUUUAUCGUAGGUUGGUUAGAUUCGAGGGAACAGUGAAGCUGCUGACGAGCGGCGGACGGCUGAGUAACGCGUGGGAAUGGACCCCAAACUGAGGGAUAACUAGUCGAAAGAUUAGCUAAUACCGCA
RNAcentral lists this ribosomal RNA (233 nucleotides) under Candidatus Saccharimonadota bacterium. RNAcentral describes it as "partial 16S ribosomal RNA". It matches the Rfam family "Bacterial small subunit ribosomal RNA", at positions 1 to 173 of the family's 1533-position model. The record is from RNAcentral. Lineage: Bacteria; Candidatus Saccharimonadota.